Molecule: long non-coding RNA, 584 nt
Filed under: Homo sapiens (human)
Lineage: Eukaryota; Metazoa; Chordata; Mammalia; Primates; Hominidae
Description: HSALNT0398026
Source: RNAcentral
CCCCUGGUUAUUCUAGAACCAGUGUAGGGACCAGCCCCACAGGGUCGGUGGGUCUCUCCCCAUGUGCGGAGACGAGAGAGUGUAGAAAUGAAGACACAAGAUAAAGAGAUAAAAGAACAGACAGCUGGGCCCCGGGGGGAUCACUACCACCAAUGCGCGGAGACUGGUAGUGGCCCCGAAUGUCUGACUGCGCUGUUAUUUAUUGGAUACAAAGCAAAAGGGGGAGGGUAAAGAGUGUGAGUCAUCUCCAAUGAUAGCUCGUGUCCUUGGUCUCUUGCCUCGGCGCCUGGGUGACCUGCCGCCCACAAACCAGGACCAGGGAGACCUGAAAACCUUCCCACAGACCAAAAUCUCCCCCUCUGAGAUGUGGAUGCCCAAGAAAAAGGAAAGAGAACUUAGGACUGGUCUCAGGCCUGCAGAUGUCUAAUAAUAACGCCAGCCGUCCCCUGGUGGAGAAGAGGCAGCUGUGGCUGCAGAGAGACCUCGUGUGACUCUAAUCUGACACCUUUGACUUGUGUGACCCUAGUCGGUGACUGUCUCCCUGUUCCUCAAUUUUUUUUUUCAAUAAGUAGGAUAAGUGCUAU